This 164-nucleotide ribosomal RNA is filed under the name uncultured bacterium. RNAcentral describes it as "partial 16S rRNA". It matches the Rfam family "Bacterial small subunit ribosomal RNA", at positions 355 to 511 of the family's 1533-position model. The record is from RNAcentral.
UAGGGAAUCUUCCACAAUGGGCGCAAGCCUGAUGGAGCAACACCGCGUGAGUGAAGAAGGGUUUCGGCUCGUAAAGCUCUGUUGUUAGAGAAGAACGUGCGUGAGAGUAACUGUUCACGCAGUGACGGUAUCUAACCAGAAAGUCACGGCUAACUACGUGCCAG